Molecule: long non-coding RNA, 4089 nt
Organism: Anas platyrhynchos (mallard)
Lineage: Eukaryota; Metazoa; Chordata; Aves; Anseriformes; Anatidae
Source: RefSeq, a predicted model, not a curated record
UUGCAGGUUUCUUGAAAGGCACUGCCUCCCGGCAACCUCUUUUUUUUUGCUUUUUUAUUCCUAAGCCUGGGUUUUAAAAUCCCUCUGUGUAUCUUGAACCAGCGAGGCUCUUUCCCCACGGGCUCUGCUAGCGGUUUAAUAGCCUCUUGUUUCUCUUCAGUGCUGGCGCUAGCUGUGCGCAGCCCUACUGAUGCUGGCUGCUGCUGGGCACCUUCUCCACCCGCUGCUGCGGGGGGAUCCUGGCUCCUCCAGCCCCCAGGGCUGCUUUCCCGAGCCCCCGUGCCCCGUGCCACCCUCCUGUGGGGAAGUUUCUGCUGCCUCCGGGGCUGUUCAUCAAAAGCACCAGGAUGAGCACUGAAAACCGAGGAGAGGAAUGCUCUGGCCUUAGCGUGCUGCUGGUGUUAUCGCAGCGCUUUAAAGCUCCGGCCAGAAUAAAAAGGCUUUCCUGCUGCUGGGUGCUGCCAAGGCUUUUCCAUUGCAUUCUUUCUUAAUGUGAGUUGCAGCACAGCUGCUCGCAGAGAUUCAGGGGGCACGCAAGGCUCAGCUCCCAGUCCUGAGGCAUGGGAUGUCCCCUCCGUCUGAGACCUGCUGAGAUGCUGCAGCCUCCCCAAAACCAACGGGAUACCAGCCCUGCCAGGUCAUGGUUUGCUAUCAUAGGACAGCUGGACCCAUUUCAGCCCGGGGAGGGGAAGGCUGAGGCGGGACGGGCUGCUGUGAGACCUUCCUCCGCUGCUGAAGCAGCUGGGGCUGGACCGGUGCCCACGGAUAAACGAAAGCAGCUUCACUGCUGCUCUAAUUUAUGCCCGACUGCCAGUGGCCCCGGGGCUUUUCUGUCAGCCGGGGCUCAACCAGCUGUGACAGCAGCCUCCUUUCAGCCUCUCCUCUGGCGCUCGCUGCUUUUGCCAGCAGCUGAGAGGGAUGCGGGUGCGGGUGGCCCCGGCAUGGGUCCCUCCCCGCAAUCUUCAGGGCAUCUGUGCUGCUCGCCCUGGCACCUCCUGGCCAGGUCAGAGCCCGUGUUUCAACCCUUCUGGACAGAAAGAUAAUCCUCCUCACCCGCUACGUGUGACGGUGCUUCGCUGUCUGUAUCUGCCCACGUGACGCAAGCAGCCAAACUCCCUGCAAAACCACCCACAGAUCACUCUGGAGCCAAAAAGCCCAAUCAUGAAGACUACAAAGAAAAAUGAAAAGCCCCAUUUGAAACUCAGAAACAUGAUGUACAGCAAUUUCUCCCGUCUCUCUGCCUUAGCUGGAAUUAAUCAACAAUCUCUGCCUGCAAUUGCUGGGAAUAAUUUAUUUCAAGAAAUGCAAAGAAAGAGCGUUUAGGAUAAAUAUUUAAAUUUCCUCUUCCAGCCCAUCCUAUUCUCCAUCAUUGUUUGUGUUCAAUUCAGUCAGCUAUGCAUAAGCUGAUGCUCAUUCUAGUUGCUCUGGGUAUUUACAUAUUUUCUUCUGUAGCGAAUCUCUGAUCCCUAGCUCUUCCUUGGGUGGGUAAAGAACGAUGUAAGUAAAAUCCCCCCGGGGACUGACUCCUGGGCCAGAACACAGGGGGUCAGCCAGGGCAUGGAGAAACCCUUGCAGAUGGGGCUUGGGAUUCCCCAUGGCUGGGAAUACCUGCCCCUGUUACACGUACUGCCCUAGGACGGAGAGAGGAAUGGUAUUGAGGGAGGAGGAACAGCACGAGCCAAAACGCAGGCAGCUUGGUUCUGGAAGGUGUUUGUGUGCCAAGUCAUAAGGUGCCCGUAAAAAAUGGGAUUGGAGUUAGCUGUAAAAAAAAAAAAAAAAAAGCACAAAACCUUUACUGCAUUGGGAACUAUUAAAAAUGUUUUGUUGUUUUUGAUAGGAAAAUGACUUAAGCUGAGCGGUGGGAAUAAUCAAAGAAAAGAGCACGAACUUCAAAGGCGGUGCUUCAUACCUUUAACACCGAGGAGGCUGAAGAGAGGAAGAAGUGAGCACGAACUGUUAAUUCUGACCUGACUGCACGUGCAUACGUAUGACAAGGGUUCCCCCGGCUCCCUGCAGCCAGAUAUCUGUAACCACAGCCCGGACGGACCCGGCUGAGCCCCCCGUGUAAUCUGCGUCCCAUGGAGGCUGCGCCUCCCCCUUCUGUGCGCUCUCAUUAGCUUGCGCCAGCAGCGCUUUGAACGGGGGGUUAGGGGAGAAAGCAUGAUAUAAACUUUAAAGACGGCUCAUCUACCACGUGCAAUUUGUAUUUUACACCUCGUGAAUUUUAACAACUGGAGUUGUAACUUCACCGUUAACCCCCCGUGCGCCGGCACUUCUGCCUUGACCCCUCCAAGGGCGGCAGCAGCAGUUGGAGGCUGUCGCACACCGCUGCGGCACGGAUCCUGCAUCCAGCCAGGCUCCCCUCGUACCCUGCAGCGUGCAGAGCCGGGGCCAAGGUGCAGCUCUCCCUGACUUCUCCCCCAGCUCCAGCACCCCAGCAGCUACCGCGAUGGAGCAGGAUUUUUUUUCUUUUUCCUAAAAGAGCUCAGUCGCUUGCUAAAGCCCUUCCUUUCACGUGCGUUCAGGCUAAGUAUUAGAGGAGCGAAUGCCCUCCAGAUACUGCUAAAUGGCUGCUUAAAAAUGAAAUAACAAACAUAAAAGCUCAGAUGGCUGCAGCACCGAGUUAAAACGCACGGCACUGCUGGCAGGCUUUGCGCAUAGCCCUGGCUGGACCGGCUGCACAGUUGAUCUCCUGAAACCAUCAUUUACGCUGCCAUUAAAAAUCUUUAUUGUGACUCUAAAAAACUCCUCCAAGCGCUCGGUGGAAGCAGGGGGAAGCUGGUUUCCGUAACACGCAGCCGCACAUGGAGGUGAGACCUGGGACCUCUGCUCCACGGUGGUGUUUCAUUACGGGCGCUGAGGCUAUUAAACCAAUUUCCGAGCACUCGGGUGUGAGGUGUUUGUGGGAUUUCCCCAGCUGAACAAAUCAGCUUAGAAGCCUGCAAUUCAUUAGGCAAGUUAUCAGGCAAAAGCGGUGUGCGCUCUCUCCUUGCUGUGCCUGCAGCCCCUAACUUCCAGCUCCUUCGAUACAGCAUGGUGCUUUUUUUCCAGUUUGAGAUUUGCAGGAGCCAGCUUCAAAGCAGCUUUUUUUUUUUUGGUGGCAGAGUGCCCCAGCUCCUUGCUGGGUUUAGUGCGAGUCCACUGAGCGCACCAAAGCCAUGGCUGUGCUCCUGGGGCUGGCUGUGCCCUUCACGUUCAGCAGUCCGUGGUGCUCCGCAGCCCUCAGUGCAGGCUGAAAAUGGGUGAAGGGGACUCAAAACCCCUGCCUGCAGACUGAGGGGGGUAUCAUCGUCCUUCCUUCCUUCAUUCAUUCUUUCCUUCUUUCCUUCCUUCCUUCCUUCCUUCGGGCAGGGGAUGAGCCAGGGCUGCGGGGCUGUGCUGUGCUCGGCGCUCACGCUGCCGCUGGGUAGCACGGUGAGCUGAGCGAGGCCUUUUCUUGCAGGGAGGCCUUUGCAUUUGCAAUUUGAAUUUAAUCCCCUGGGCUAAAGAUAGCUCCGGCUCGCCUAUUGUUCCUCCAGCUGGCAACAGCUUUAUUUCUUUGAUGCUUUCAGUCCUCGGUCGUUUCCAAGGAACUGGCAGAGACGCUUUCAAUGCGGAGUCUGCCCGGCACCGUGUCACACUGGUCACCUCUUCCCACCAUCCCGGCCCUCCCUUAGGUCCCCCUUGGGGACUGCAGGGCUCCCUCCUGAUGCCACGAGCCUCUGCGUGUGCCCCUGAUGCUGGUCUCCCAUCCCUGCGGGUCCAGGGCUGCUCCUCAUGGCUCCCCCAAAAGCGGGGCCUUCCUCGGGAGCAGCCCUGGCACAAUGUCACGCUCAGGUACCUGGCAAUUAGUCUGAUUACCAUUACUCCACGGGAAGAAGUAAGUGGUACGUGUGGUCCUUUUCUUCAGGCUUUGCUGUUUGGGUUCGCCUCUAACCCACCCUUCCCACGUGUCUGUUUUGGCAAGGCCGCAUUCCUCGCUUACUGCGGGAGGUUUCCGUCUGGUGUCAGCCGGGGAACCGCGUGCUCUGCAAGGUCACUGAACGCAUGCUUGACUCUGAAGCAGUUUGGACAACGAUUUGAAGCGGAUUAAUGUCAGCGAGCUCUUAU